CGGGUGAGUAACACGUGGGUAACCUGCCCCGAUGAUUGGGACAACCCGAGGAAACUCGGGCUAAUACCGAAUGUGCCCUACAGCUUCAAGGCUGGUGGGGAAAGGAAGCUUCGGCCUCCGCAUCGGGAUGGGCCCGCGGCCCAUUAGCUUGUUGGUGAGGUAACGGCUCACCAAGGCAACGAUGGGUAGCUGGUCUGAGAGGACGAUCAGCCACACUGGGACUGAGACACGGCCCAG
Molecule: ribosomal RNA, 237 nt
Filed under: uncultured bacterium
Lineage: Bacteria
Description: partial 16S ribosomal RNA
Rfam family: Bacterial small subunit ribosomal RNA
Source: RNAcentral